ACGCUGGCGGCAGGCCUAACACAUGCAAGUCGAGCGGUAGAGAGAAGCUUGCUUCUCUUGAGAGCGGCGGACGGGUGAGUAAUGCCUAGGAAUCUGCCUGGUAGUGGGGGAUAACGUCCGGAAACGGACGCUAAUACCGCAUACGUCCUACGGGAGAAAGCAGGGGACCUUCGGGCCUUGCGCUAUCAGAUGAGCCUAGGUCGGAUUAGCUAGUCGGUGGGGUAAUGGCUCACCAAGGCGACGAUCCGUAACUGGUCUGAGAGGAUGAUCAGUCACACUGGAACUGAGACACGGUCCAGACUCCUACGGGAGGCAGCAGUGGGGAAUAUUGGACAAUGGGCGAAAGCCUGAUCCAGCCAUGCCGCGUGUGUGAAGAAGGUCUUCGGAUUGUAAAGCACUUUAAGUUGGGAGGAAGGGCAGUAAAUUAAUACUUUGCUGUUUUGACGUUACCGACAGAAUAAGCACCGGCUAACUCUGUGCCAGCAGCCGCGGUAAUACAGAGGGUGCAAGCGUUAAUCGGAAUUACUGGGCGUAAAGCGCGCGUAGGUGGUUCGUUAAGUUGGAUGUGAAAUCCCCGGGCUCAACCUGGGAACUGCAUUCAAAACUGACGAGCUAGAGUAUGGUAGAGGGUGGUGGAAUUUCCUGUGUAGCGGUGAAAUGCGUAGAUAUAGGAAGGAACACCAGUGGCGAAGGGGACCA
Molecule: ribosomal RNA, 699 nt
Filed under: uncultured bacterium
Lineage: Bacteria
Description: bacterial SSU rRNA
Rfam family: Bacterial small subunit ribosomal RNA
Source: RNAcentral